UACAGAGGUCCCAAGCGUUACUGAGAUUCACUGGGUUUAAAGGGUGCGUAGGUGGUCCGUUAAGUCAGUUGUGAAAUCCCCGGGCUCAACCCGGGAACUGCUUCUGAUACUGGCGGACUUGAGGCCAGUAGGGGUCACUAGAACUGACGGUGGAGCGGUGAAAUGCGUAGAUAUCGUCAGGAAUGCCUGUGGUGAAGACGGGUGACUGGGCUGGUUCUGACACUGAGGCACGAAAGCGUGGGGAGCGAACGGG
This 253-nucleotide ribosomal RNA is filed under the name uncultured bacterium. RNAcentral's name for it is "partial 16S ribosomal RNA". It matches the Rfam family "Bacterial small subunit ribosomal RNA", at positions 524 to 776 of the family's 1533-position model. The record is from RNAcentral.